UCGCCCCUGGCGGGGCUGGCGUUGGGCGGCACCUCGCUGGUGCCGGCGAGGGGCGCCGCGAAGGCCUGGGUCUCGGCCCGGGCGGCGGA
This 89-nucleotide transfer RNA is filed under the name Methylobacterium crusticola. RNAcentral's name for it is "tRNA-Ala". Lineage: Bacteria; Pseudomonadati; Pseudomonadota; Alphaproteobacteria; Hyphomicrobiales; Methylobacteriaceae. The record is from RNAcentral.